UGCCUACUUGAGGCCUUGUGAAGAUUUCUAACCAGCACCAUGGGAGGCUCUCCUAACCCUGCAGGAGAAGGACGUUCCUACUUCAAGCUUCGCCCUUGAGCUGGGACAACAUACAUUGGGAUGGAGGGAGUAGGCCUGGCAAUGCUGCCUCUCAUCCCCACUGGGCAGGUCAGUGGGGACGAAGUCUUGGCUCAGGACACCAGUGCUGAUCAGGCUCACAAGAUGCAUCAAGGCCGAGGAGUCAGCUCUGAAUAAUUCCUCUUUGGACCAGGAACUACGUGAAAUCAGCAGUAUAAGCCUAAUUCUUGCCCUGUCCUGGAUUCUACACAGUUAUGUGUACUUGGUAAGGGGUCAACCUGGCCCCAGGGAGCCUCAGAGCCUCAACGCACUGUGAGGAUAAGAGGCUGCCACAGGUUAAACCAUGGGAGUUAAGGCACUUGGCAUGACUUGCAUACACAAUGAUGGACAGAUGGACGAAGCUGGGAUUCUGAUACUGCUGUGAGAAAAUGGCUUCAGUUUCUUUUUUUCCUGGGAUCUAAUCAAAUAAGUAAAUUCUUCAGGAAUCUUCUUGCAGAGUCAUGCAUGAGCUUGGGUCACAUUGAUCCCAGUGGGGCUGUAGCUUCGCGGCAGGAGGACCUUGGUUCUCACCACUGUAAGGAACGAGACUUCAUUUCCACCUAUCUAUAUAAAAACAGGUUACUAUGGCUUCUCAGCGGGUACAUUAGCAGCAUGAAUGUGUUUGUACACUCACCAGGAGAUCUGUCAUGAAUUAAACUAUGGCUGGUAUUCUUCUCGUGUAAAUUU
Molecule: long non-coding RNA, 804 nt
Organism: Lagopus muta (rock ptarmigan)
Lineage: Eukaryota; Metazoa; Chordata; Aves; Galliformes; Phasianidae
Exons: 5
Source: RefSeq, a predicted model, not a curated record